CACGAGUAAUUUUGAUAAUGUCCUGUGUGUCCGGGGAAGUAAUUCCCCUAUUAUUGGCUUUUAGCAAGAAUUUAUAAUUAAAUCAGGGAGGAGAAACGCUGGCAGCCGACACUAUGUCACAUUUAUUUCAAGUGUAAUGCCACAGUUUCAUGGAUGGUCACUUAGGCAUUGAAAUCGUGCAGCUAUGAGGGAGCAAAAAGGAGGCUAGCCCGCCUUGAGAAGGUGCACUUUUACAAACAGCUUGUUAUCUGAUGCUGUGGUCUGCAGUUCCCUAAAACAUUUCCAGGGAAGAAACGUUGAAGGAAGCAUUUCUCAUGAGGAAUCAGUCUACGUACAUGGCACGUUUCUUGAAAAAGCUGCUCGGCCUACGUUUGCUUUCCAGAAGAACCGCGAUGAUUUUUCUUUUCCCGCUGUUUUUAAUAAUUACAAUAAAAUGUGUGACUGGCCCAAACAGGUGUC
Molecule: long non-coding RNA, 459 nt
Organism: Neofelis nebulosa (Clouded leopard)
Lineage: Eukaryota; Metazoa; Chordata; Mammalia; Carnivora; Felidae
Exons: 3
Source: RefSeq, a predicted model, not a curated record